Molecule: transfer RNA, 71 nt
Filed under: Moringua microchir (lesser thrush eel)
Lineage: Eukaryota; Metazoa; Chordata; Actinopteri; Anguilliformes; Moringuidae
Description: tRNA-Asp
Rfam family: tRNA
About the family: Transfer RNA (tRNA) molecules are approximately 80 nucleotides in length. Their secondary structure includes four short double-helical elements and three loops (D, anti-codon, and T loops).
Source: RNAcentral
AAAGUGCUAGUAAUAAAAUAUUACACUGCCUUGUCAAGGCAGAGUCGUGGGUUAAACUCCCACGCACUUUA